Molecule: ribosomal RNA, 254 nt
Filed under: uncultured bacterium
Lineage: Bacteria
Description: partial 16S ribosomal RNA
Rfam family: Bacterial small subunit ribosomal RNA
Source: RNAcentral
UACGUAGGGUGCGAGCGUUAUCCGGAAUCAUUGGGCGUAAAGAGCUCUGAGGCGGUUCAGCAAGUCGGCUGUGAAAGUCCGAGGCUCAAACUCGGAAUUGCAGUCGAUACUGCUGUGACUCGAGUCCGGUAGAGGAGAACGGAAUUCCCGGUGUAGCGGUGAAAUGCGCAGAUAUCGGGAGGAACACCAGUAGCGAAGGAGGUUCUCGGGGCCGGCAUUGACGUUGAGGAGCGAAAGCGUGGGGAGCGAACAGG